Molecule: ribosomal RNA, 468 nt
Filed under: Synergistales bacterium canine oral taxon 178
Lineage: Bacteria; Thermotogati; Synergistota; Synergistia; Synergistales
Description: bacterial SSU rRNA
Rfam family: Bacterial small subunit ribosomal RNA
Source: RNAcentral
GAGUUUGAUCAUGGCUCAGGACGAACGCUGGCGGCGUGCGUAACACAUGCAAGUUGGACGACGGUGCCAUGAAGUGGUAACACGGAAUGGCAUGCGGAGUAGCGGACGGGUGAGUACAACAUGAGAAGCUGUCCAAUAGUGGGGGAUAACGUUCGGAAACGGACCCUAAUACCCCAUAGGCCUUUUGGUUAAAGCAGCGAUGCGCUAUUGGAGGUGCUCGUGUCCUAUCAGCUGGUUGGUGAGGUAACGGCUCACCAAGGCGACGACGGGUAGCCGGCCUGAGAGGAUGUCCGGCCACACUGGAACUGAGAUACGGUCCAGACUCCUACGGGAGGCAGCAGUGGGGAAUAUUGGGCAAUGGGAGAAAUCCUGACCCAGCGACGCCGCGUGAACGAAGAAGGCCUUCGGGUCGUAAAGUUCUUUUAUGUGGGAAGAAGGAAGUGACGUACCACAUGAAUAAGCCCCGCA